RNAcentral lists this ribosomal RNA (412 nucleotides) under uncultured bacterium. RNAcentral's name for it is "bacterial SSU rRNA". It matches the Rfam family "Bacterial small subunit ribosomal RNA", at positions 355 to 775 of the family's 1533-position model. The record is from RNAcentral.
UCGAGAAUCUUUCACAAUGGGGGAAACCCUGAUGGAGCGACGCCGCGUGGAGGAUAAGGUCUUCGGAUUGUAAACUCCUGUCAUGCGAGAACAAAGCCUCACGGCCUGAUAGUAUCGCAAGAGGAAGAGACGGCUAACUCUGUGCCAGCAGCCGCGGUAAUACAGAGGUCUCAAGCGUUGUUCGGAAUCACUGGGCGUAAAGGGUGCGUAGGCGGCGUGGAAAGUCAGGUGUGAAAUCCGGAGGCUCAACCUCCGAAUUGCAUCCGAUACUUCCAUGCUAGAGAGUUGUAGAGGGGCUUGGAAUUCUCGGUGUAGCAGUGAAAUGCGUAGAUAUCGAGAAGAACGCUCGCAGCGAAGGCGAAGCUCUGGGCAACAUCUGACGCUGAGGCACGAAGGCUGGGGGAGCGAACGG